GGUUCUAUGGUGUAAUGGUUAGCACUCUGGACUUUGAAUCCAGCGAGCUGAGUUCAAAUCUCGGUAGGAUCA
RNAcentral lists this transfer RNA (72 nucleotides) under Danionella translucida. It matches the Rfam family "tRNA". Rfam says of the family: Transfer RNA (tRNA) molecules are approximately 80 nucleotides in length. Their secondary structure includes four short double-helical elements and three loops (D, anti-codon, and T loops). Further hydrogen bonds mediate the characteristic L-shaped molecular structure. tRNAs have two regions of fundamental functional importance: the anti-codon, which is responsible for specific mRNA codon recognition, and the 3' end, to which the tRNAs corresponding amino acid is attached (by aminoacyl-tRNA synthetases). tRNAs cope with the degeneracy of the genetic code in two manners: having more than one tRNA (with a specific anti-codon) for a particular amino acid; and 'wobble' base-pairing, i.e. permitting non-standard base-pairing at the 3rd anti-codon position. RNAcentral also lists the same sequence under 1 other name. Lineage: Eukaryota; Metazoa; Chordata; Actinopteri; Cypriniformes; Danionidae. The record is from Rfam by way of RNAcentral.